RNAcentral lists this ribosomal RNA (255 nucleotides) under uncultured bacterium. RNAcentral's name for it is "partial 16S ribosomal RNA". It matches the Rfam family "Bacterial small subunit ribosomal RNA", at positions 524 to 777 of the family's 1533-position model. The record is from RNAcentral.
UACGAAGGGGGCUAGCGUUGUUCGGAAUUACUGGGCGUAAAGGGCGCGUAGGCGGUGUGUCAAGUCAGGCGUGAAAGCCCCGGGCUCAACCUGGGAAUUGCAGUGGAUACUGGCAAGCUAGAGUGCGGUAGAGGAUGGUGGAAUUCCUAGUGUAGAGGUGAAAUUCUUAGAUAUUAGGAGGAACACCGGUGGCGAAGGCGGUCAUCUGGGCUACAACUGACGCUGAUGCGCGAAAAGCGUGGGGAGCAAACAGGG